GAUUUACUCCCUCCGUUCCGAAUUACUUGUCUUAGAUUUGUCUAAUACGGAUGUAGUCUAGAUACAUCCGUAUCGAGACAAAUCCAAAACAAGUAAUUCGGAAUAGAGGGAGUACAUC
This is a non-coding RNA of Triticum aestivum (bread wheat), 118 nucleotides long. The record is from Rfam. Lineage: Eukaryota; Viridiplantae; Streptophyta; Magnoliopsida; Poales; Poaceae.